CCUACGGGUGGCAGCAGUGGGGAAUAUUGGGCAAUGGGCGCAAGCCUGACCCAGCAACGCCGCGUGAAGGAAGAAGGCUUUCGGGUUGUAAACUUCUUUUCUCAGGGACGAAGAAAGUGACGGUAACUGAGGAAUAAGCCACGGCUAACGACGUGACAGCAGCCGCGGUAAUACGUAGGUGGCAAGCGUUAUCCGGAUUUAAUGGGUUUAAAUGGCGUGUAGGCGGGACGUCAAGUCAGAUGUGAAAACCACGGGAGCAACCUGUGGCCUGCAUUUGAAACUGUAGUUCUUGAGUGCUGGAGAGGCAGACGGAAUUCCUGGUGUAGCGGUGAAAUGCGUAGAUAUUAGGAGGAACACCAGUGGCGAAGGCGGUCUGCUGGACAGCAACUGACGCUGAGGCGCGAAAGCGUGGGGAGCAAACAGGAUUAGAUACCCGUGUAGUC
Molecule: ribosomal RNA, 443 nt
Filed under: uncultured bacterium
Lineage: Bacteria
Description: partial 16S ribosomal RNA
Rfam family: Bacterial small subunit ribosomal RNA
Source: RNAcentral